Molecule: ribosomal RNA, 490 nt
Filed under: Nematomenia banyulensis
Lineage: Eukaryota; Metazoa; Mollusca; Solenogastres; Pholidoskepia; Dondersiidae
Description: partial large subunit ribosomal RNA
Rfam family: Bacterial large subunit ribosomal RNA
Source: RNAcentral
CAAAAACAUUGCUCUUUGUUACACAUAAAGAGUCAGACCUGCCCAGUGAUUAAUUCAACGGCCGCGGAAUUUUAACCGUGCUAAGGUAGCAUAAUCAUUUGUCUUAUAAUUGAAGACUCGUAUGAAUGGUUAAACGAAUAUAAACUAUUUAAUUUAAUAAUAAAUAUAAAUUAUUUUUAAAGUCAAAAAACUUUAAUAUAAUAAAAAGACAAAAAGACCCUGUAGAGUUUUAUUUUUAAUUUAUUUAAUAUAAUUUUAAAAAUUUAGUUGGGGCAACUGAGAAAAAUAAAAAUUUUUCUCAUAAAUAAAAACAUAACAUCAUUUUUUAAAUAAAUCAAAACAAAUUACCUUAGGGUUAACAGCGUAAAUUUCUUUGAGAGCUCACAUCGAAAAGAAAAAUUACGACCUCGAUGUUGGAUUAGAGUAACUUAUAGCUGAAAAAGGUUUUUAAGGUAGUCNUCGUUCGACUAAUAAUCUCUACAUGAUCUGA